GAUCAUUCCCCUGCAAUUUCACUGCUCAAUUCACUGUCAUUUAGGAGUUAAAUCACAUUGUUUCUGUUUAUGCAGCCCUAGCCACACCUCCCCUGGCUAUGAUUGACAGAGCCUGCAUGAAAAAAAAACUGGUUUCACUUUCAAACAGAUGUAAUUUACCUUAAAUAAUUGUAUCUCAAUCUCUAAAUUGAACUUUAAUCACAUACAGGAGGCUCUUGCAGGGUCUAGCAAGCUAUUAACAUAGCAGGGGAUAAGAAAAUCUUAAUUAAACAGAACUUGCAACAAAGAAAGCCUAAAUAGGGCUCUCUUUACAGGAAGUGUUUAUGGAAGGCUGUGCAAGUCACAUGCAGGGAGGUGUGACUAGGGUUCAUAAACACAGGGAUUUAACUCCUAAAUGGCAGG
Molecule: non-coding RNA, 402 nt
Organism: Pelobates cultripes (western spadefoot toad)
Lineage: Eukaryota; Metazoa; Chordata; Amphibia; Anura; Pelobatidae
Source: the annotation of a GenBank genome assembly